UACGAAGGGGGCUAGCGUUGUUCGGAAUCACUGGGCGUAAAGCGCACGCAGGCGGAUCGUUAAGUCAGGGGUGAAAUCCCGAGGCUCAACCUCGGAACUGCCUUUGAUACUGGCGAUCUUUGAGUCCGGGAGAGGUGAGUGGAACUCCGAGUGUAGAGGUGAAAUUCGUAGAUAUUCGGAAGAACACCAGUGGCGAAGGCGGCUCGCUGGGACGUUACUGACACUGAGGCGCGAAAGCGUGGGGAGCAAACAGG
Molecule: ribosomal RNA, 254 nt
Filed under: uncultured bacterium
Lineage: Bacteria
Description: partial 16S ribosomal RNA
Rfam family: Bacterial small subunit ribosomal RNA
Source: RNAcentral